RNAcentral lists this ribosomal RNA (406 nucleotides) under uncultured bacterium. Its description in RNAcentral is "partial 16S ribosomal RNA". It matches the Rfam family "Bacterial small subunit ribosomal RNA", at positions 30 to 526 of the family's 1533-position model. The record is from RNAcentral.
AUUGAACGCUGGCGGCAGGCCUAACACAUGCAAGUCGAGCGAGCGGCGGACGGGUGAGUAAUGUCUGGGAAACUGCCUGAUGGAGGGGGGUAACUACUGGAAACGGUAGCUAAUACCGCAUACUAUCAGAUGUGCUCAGAGGGGAUUAGCUAGUGGGUGGGGUAACGGCUUACCUAGGCGACGAUGCCUAGCUGGUCUGAGAGGAUGACCAGCCACACUGGAACUGAGACACGGUCCAGACUCCUACGGGAGGCAGCAGUGGGGAAUAUUGCACAAUGGGCGCAAGCCUGAUGCAGCAAUGCCGCGUGUGUGAAGAAGGCCUUCGGGUUGUAAAGCACUUUCAGCGGGGAGGCGUUACCCGCAGAAGAAGCACCGGCUAACUCCGUGCCAGCCGCCGCGGUAAUUC